UUACCUGGGUGAUCCCCAGAUGAUAUGCUUGUCUCAAAGAUUAACCAUGCGUCUAGUCAAGCCAGUUUAAGGUGAAACCGGAAAUGGCUCAUAAAUCAGUUAUGGUUCAUUUGGACAGUCAGAAUUACUGGAUAAACUGUGGUAAUUCUAAGAGCUAAUACAUUCCGAGUUCCGACCAGAAAUGGAAGGAACGCUUUUAUUAGAUCAACCGAAUCGGUCGGGUUCGACCCGGUGUUGAAUUUUGGUGACUCUGGAUAACUUUGGGCUGAUCGCACGGUCUCCGCCCGCGACAGACCUUUCAAAUGUCGCCUAUCAACUGACGAUGGUAGCUCGUGCCUACCAUGGUUUACGGGUGACGGGGAAUCAGGGUUCGAUUCCGGAGAGGGAGCCUGAGAACGGCUCCACAUCCAAGGAAGGCAGCAGGGCGCAAAUUACCCACUCCCGCACGGGAGGUAGUGACGAAAAAUAACGAUAGGACUCAUCCGAGCCCGUAAUGGAAUGAGGACACUUUAAAUCCUUAUCAAACCUAUCAGAGGGUAGUCUGGUGCCACAGCGCGUAAUUCCAGCUCUGAUAGCGUAUAUUAAAGUUGCGCGGUUAAAAAGCUCGUAGUUGGACAUGUGUCCCGCGCUGCCGGUUCCCCUCGUCGGUGUUUAACUGGCCGCAUGCGGGACGUCCGCUGGUGGCGGCGAGUCGACGUAAGGCGCGCGCUUCAGAGCGCCGGGCGGACGGAGUGUUUCAUUCCUCGACGCGCUUUUCUUCUCUCGAGUCAAAUCGUGGAGUUGUAAAACGUGGCGCCGAGGGUGUUCCUCUCGCCUCGUUCCGGUGGCGGUUGCGCGUUAGCCUUACGAAGGCGGACCCCGAUGUCACCCGCCGCGGUGCUCUUGACUGAGUGUCGCGCGGGCCGGCACGUUUACUUUGAACAAAUUAGAGUGCUCAAAGCAGGCCCUUGAAUGCCUGAAUACUGUGUGCAUGGAAUAAUGAAAUAGGACCUCGGUUCUAUUUUGUUGGUUUCCGGAGCUCGAGGUAAUGAUUAAUGGGGAUUGCCGGGGGCAUCCGUAUUGCGACGUUAGAGGUGAAAUUCUUGGAUCGUCGCAAGACGAACCGCAGCGAAAGCGUUUGCCAAGUAUGUUUUCUUUAAUCAAGAACGAAAGUUAGAGGCUCGAAGGCGAUCAGAUACCGCCCUAGUUCUAACCAUAAACUAUGCCAUCUAGCGAUCCGCGGUGUGUCUUAGAUGUCACGGCGGGCAGCCCCCGGGAAACCAAAGAUUUUGGGUUCCGGGGGAAGUAUGGUUGCAAAGCUGAAACUUAAAGGAAUUGACGGAAGGGCACCACCAGACGUGGGGCUUGCGGCUUAAUUUGACUCAACGCGGGGUAUUCUACUAGGCCCGGACACUCGAAGGAUUGACAGAUUGAGAGCUCUUUCUUGAUUGGGUGCGUGGUGGUGCAUGGCCGUUCUUCGUUGGUGUUGUGAAAUGUCUGCUUAAUUGCGAUAACGAACGAGACUCCAGCCUGCUAACUAGUCGAUACCGGCAUCCGUUGUGCAGCCGGCGACAAUAUGUCUUCUUAGAGGGACAAGUGGUGUAUAGCCACACGAGAUUGAGCAAUAACAGGUCUGUGAUGCCCUUAGAUGUUCUGGGCCGCACGCGUGCCACACUGAAGGGAUCAGCGUGUGUUUUCCUAGUCCGAGAGGACCGGGUAACCCGUUGAACCUCCUUCGUGCUAGGGAUUGGGGCUUGCAAUUAUUCCCCACGAACGAGGAAUGUCUAGUAAGCGCGAGUCAUAACCUCGCGUUGAUUAUGUCCCUGCCCUUUGUCCACACCGCCCGUCGCUACUACCGAUUGAAUGGUUUAGUGAGGUCUUCGGACCAGUGCGCGAUCUUCGGUAUUAUAUCGAAGAUCGAUGUCACCGGAAAGAUGACCGAAC
This 1923-nucleotide ribosomal RNA is filed under the name Anaxipha praepostera. RNAcentral's name for it is "SSU rRNA". It matches the Rfam family "Eukaryotic small subunit ribosomal RNA". The record is from RNAcentral. Lineage: Eukaryota; Metazoa; Arthropoda; Insecta; Orthoptera; Trigonidiidae.